Molecule: transfer RNA, 84 nt
Filed under: Candidatus Sneabacter namystus
Lineage: Bacteria; Pseudomonadati; Pseudomonadota; Alphaproteobacteria; Rickettsiales; Rickettsiaceae
Description: tRNA-Tyr
Rfam family: tRNA
About the family: Transfer RNA (tRNA) molecules are approximately 80 nucleotides in length.
Source: RNAcentral
GGGGAGAUGGCCGAAUGGGAUGGCAGCAGACUGUAAAUCUGCCCGCGCAAGCGAGAGUAGGUUCGAUUCCUUCUCUCCCCACCA